Long non-coding RNA from Drosophila subobscura, 565 nucleotides. RefSeq lists it as uncharacterized. The record is from RefSeq and is a predicted model, not a curated record. NCBI's taxonomy places the organism in Eukaryota, Metazoa, Arthropoda, Insecta, Diptera, Drosophilidae. The transcript has 3 exons.
UUUAUACGUUCAAAAUUGACCAGAGUAUCAACCAUUCGAUGCCUUCAUUUGUACCCUUUUGUUGCGCUGCACAACUUCGUGUAGCCAUAUAAAAAGACUGCUAUACUUUUUGUGACUGUCCCGAGGCGGGAAAAAGUAACAAAAUCAACAGCAAACUGUGGAAAAUGCUGGAGAAAACAAGGAAAAUGGCAUCACACGAAAAAGUUGCGGUGAUUUUCACACUUGCGGCAAGCGAACACUUUAUUUUGCACGGCAGCACAAAAGUCCCACUGAGGAACGGCACCGAGAAACCAGAAGAAGUAAAAGGCAGAAAUACACGAAGCCAAAAGCUACUUCUCAAAGUCAUUUUAAUUUAAGUUGUGCAACAUUUCAACACUUCACCAAAUAAAUUCAGGAUGGCCCAAGGCACUGAAAGAAGUGCAAAGACCAUGGAGUUAGUUUUACAGAGACAGAGAAAGUAGAAGAAGUUCGCUGAAAUUUUUAAAGUUUCAACUAUGCAAAUGUUCUAAACAUUUUUGGUAUUUUGUUGGUAAAUUGUAUAUUCGAAUUAGCAAUUGUCACUGGC